RNAcentral lists this ribosomal RNA (310 nucleotides) under Sordariomycetes sp. genotype 78. RNAcentral describes it as "eukaryotic LSU rRNA". It matches the Rfam family "Eukaryotic large subunit ribosomal RNA", at positions 259 to 575 of the family's 3401-position model. Lineage: Eukaryota; Fungi; Ascomycota; Sordariomycetes. The record is from RNAcentral.
GACGAGUCGAGUAGUUUGGGAAUGCUGCUCAAAAUGGGAGGUAUAUCUCUUCUAAAGCUAAAUACUGGCCAGAGACCGAUAGCGCACAAGUAGAGUGAUCGAAAGAUGAAAAGCACUUUGAAAAGAGGGUUAAAUAGUACGUGAAAUUGUUGAAAGGGAAGCGCUUGUGACCAGACUUGUGCCCGGCUGAUCAUCCAGUGUUCUCACUGGUGCACUCUGCCGGGCUCAGGCCAGCGUCGGUUCUCGCAGGGGGACAAAAGCUUCGGGAACGUAGCUCCUCCGGGAGUGUUAUAGCCCGUUGCUCAAUACC